CAGGGGAGCCGAGGCGGAUGUCUUCCGACAUUUCGAGCUGCAUGAGCUCGCUAGGCUCGGCUGCGGGGACGUUUGUUCCCGCAGGAGGGAGAGGACGUCCGUUACCGUUACGGCCGGUUUCUGCUUCGGAGUCGGACUCUCCUUCGUCGUCUUCUUCUUCGUCCUCGUCCUCGUCGUCUUCUUGCGCGGCUGCGUGGAGAGGAGGAGGGUUGUUUGCUGCCGCGUUGUUGCGGAUGGCAGUGAGGUGAGGAGAAUGGAAGCGGGGGUGGUGGUCGGAGGAGGUGGCGGGGUUGGAGGUGGAGUGCUCCGAGAGGGCCGGCUUGGGCGGUGGAAGGUGGUGGUGAUCGACGAAGAAAGUUUUGACGUGUUGGACGAAGGCUAGGUCUUCUGGAACCCUGUCAGUUGUGCCUAGCUCGACGACGCCGUCAAGGAGAGGAAUGCACACUACAGUUUGAA
Molecule: long non-coding RNA, 456 nt
Filed under: Fragaria vesca (wild strawberry)
Lineage: Eukaryota; Viridiplantae; Streptophyta; Magnoliopsida; Rosales; Rosaceae
Description: long non-coding RNA (FVES_LNC000752)
Source: RNAcentral